RNAcentral lists this unclassified non-coding RNA (231 nucleotides) under plant metagenome. Its description in RNAcentral is "partial contains small subunit ribosomal RNA and internal transcribed spacer 1". The stretch from base 1 to 46 matches the Rfam family "Eukaryotic small subunit ribosomal RNA", at positions 1786 to 1831 of the family's 1831-position model. The record is from RNAcentral.
AAGUCGUAACAAGGUCUUCGUAGGUGAACCUGCGGAGGGAUCAUUGAUGAAUUAAGCCUUAUUCCUGGACGCGCUUCGGCGUUUGAAGGGUUGGCUAUCAUCCCCAUUUACACCCCUGUGCACCCUUUUUUUCAGACUUUAGGAACUGGCCUCUUCGGAGACCUCAGUACUUGGGCUGGAAAGAAACCCUUGUGAAUGUAAAAGUUUGGAUGUCCAAUUGAAAAAAUUAAA